RNAcentral lists this ribosomal RNA (484 nucleotides) under uncultured bacterium. RNAcentral describes it as "partial 16S ribosomal RNA". It matches the Rfam family "Bacterial small subunit ribosomal RNA", at positions 29 to 507 of the family's 1533-position model. The record is from RNAcentral.
AUUGAACGCUGGCGGCAUGCUUUACACAUGCAAGUCGAACGGCAGCGCGGGCUUCGGCCUGGCGGCGAGUGGCGAACGGGUGAGUAAUACAUCGGAACGUGCCCAGUAGUGGGGGAUAGCUCGGCGAAAGCCGGAUUAAUACCGCAUACGACCUGAGGGUGAAAGCGGGGGAUCUUCGGACCUCGCGCUAUUGGAGCGGCCGAUGGCAGAUUAGCUAGUUGGUGGGGUAAAGGCCUACCAAGGCGACGAUCUGUAGCUGGUCUGAGAGGACGACCAGCCACACUGGGAGUGAGACACGGCCCAGACUCCUACGGGAGGCAGCAGUGGGGAAUUUUGGACAAAGGGCGAAAGCCUGAUCCAGCAAUGCCGCGUGUGUGAUGAAGGCCUUCGGGUUGUAAAGCACUUUUGGCGGGAACGAAAAGGACUGUGCCAAUACCACGGUUCGAUGACGGUACCCGCAGAAUAAGCACCGGCUAACUACGUG